Leucogyrophana mollusca is the source of this 91-nucleotide non-coding RNA. Lineage: Eukaryota; Fungi; Basidiomycota; Agaricomycetes; Boletales. The record is from the annotation of a GenBank genome assembly.
GGCCACCUGGCGAAAUGGCAUCGCGUCUGACUACGACUAAACAGCUACUUACGUAAUCAGGAGAUUGUAGGUUCGACCCCUACGGCGGUCA